RNAcentral lists this long non-coding RNA (334 nucleotides) under Rattus norvegicus (Norway rat). RNAcentral describes it as "long non-coding RNA NONRATT027392". Lineage: Eukaryota; Metazoa; Chordata; Mammalia; Rodentia; Muridae. The record is from RNAcentral.
UCCGAAGCUCUCUGCAGGGUGCGAAAGAACUGAGGCUUUUCCUCAUGGCUGUUGGACAAAGCAUGUAUUGAAAUUAAAGGAAGAAGAGAAACAAAAAUUUAACAAUGCUGAACGCAGUGACAAGCGCUGGGUUUUUGUAGAUGUCCUGAAAAGGAAACACAACCAAGUGGGCAAAAUGCUUCUCCAGACAUUUCUUAAUGUGGACUCAGGCAGCCACCAUGGUGAAGGUAAGAUCAGAAUGCAUUGUGAAGAGUUCAGGAUAGCCAUGAUCUGUUGUCAGGUCCAACACUUUAUAAUUAUCUAAAUUAUCAUUUUUCUGUAAAUAGACAACCUU